UAGGGAAUCUUCCGCAAUGGGCGAAAGCCUGACGGAGCAACGCCGCGUGAGUGAUGAAGGUCUUCGGAUCGUAAAACUCUGUUAUUAGGGAAGAACAAAUGUGUAAGUAACUAUGCACGUCUUGACGGUACCUAAUCAGAAAGCCACGGCUAACUACGUGCCAGCAGCCGCGGUAAUACGUAGGUGGCAAGCGUUAUCCGGAAUUAUUGGUCGUAAAGCGCGCGUAGGCGGUUUUUUAAGUCUGAUGUGAAAGCCCACGGCUCAACCGUGGAGGGUCAUUGGAAACUGGAAAACUUGAGUGCAGAGGAGGAAAGUGGAAUUCCAUGUGUAGCGAUGAAAUGCGCAGAGAUAUGGAGGAACACCAGGGGCGAAGGCGACUUUCUGGUCUGUAACUGACGCUGAUGUGCGAAAGCGUGGGGAUCAAACAGG
Molecule: ribosomal RNA, 429 nt
Filed under: Actinomycetes bacterium
Lineage: Bacteria; Bacillati; Actinomycetota; Actinomycetes
Description: Actinobacteria bacterium partial 16S ribosomal RNA
Rfam family: Bacterial small subunit ribosomal RNA
Source: RNAcentral